GGUGGUCGAUUUUGCGGCUGCUGGGGGCUGAGGGAUCCCCUUUCUAGGGUGAGGACGACGGGGCGCCGACGCGAUACGACCCGUCUUGAAACACGGACCAAGGAGUCUAGCGUAGCUGCGAGUCGUAGGGUAUUGAAACCUGAGGGCGCAGUGAAAGCAAAUUGUAUUUUUUGAAAAAACUAAGUUUUUUUUGGCAGUUUGGGGCGGCAUACGAUCUUUGAUUGUAAGUCCGACCUUGAGCAGUUAUGCUAGGACCCGAAAGAUGGUGAACUAUGCCGGAGUAGGGCGAAGCCAGAGGAAACUCUGGUGGAGGCUCGUAGCGUUGCUGACGUGCAAAUCGCUCGUUAAACUCGGGUAUAGGGGCGAAAGACUAAUCGAACCAUCUAGUAGCUGGUUUCCUCCGAAGUUUCUCUCAGGAUAGCAGGCCGAAUGUAAGUUGUUGUGUGUGGUAAAGCGAAUGAUUAGCGUACUUGGGGGCUUUAUGCCUCCAGACGAUUCUCAAACUUUAAAUGCGCACGGAUGUUGCUGCUUUGUUGAGUGGCAUCGUCAAAAACUUCGGCUUUGUGGGCCAUUUUUGGUAAGCAGAACUGGCGAUACGGGAUGAACCGUAAGUGUGGUUAAGGCGUCAAAGUAUCCGCUUAUAGAUUCCAAAAAAGGUGUUGAUUCAUUAUGACAGCAGGACGGUGGCCAUGGAAGUCGGAAUCCGCUAAGGAGUGUGUAACAACUCACCUGCCGAAUGAAUUAGCCCUGAAAAUGGAUGACGCUUAAGCGGGUGGCCGACACCACGCCGUCUGAACAAAUAAAUUUUUGAAAGGGAAGCAGGUUGACAUUCCUGCACACGGAUGUGGAGGCGGUGACGCACUUCUGGGACGAUUAAGCUGGCGAUGGCACUGGGCAGAGUUGUCUUUUCUGUUUGACCGUACCAUACGCGCUGUGUGGAAUCCGCUUGUCGGGAGAAACACGCGUGUUUGGGCAGAGCGCCGGGGUUUUUCCGGUGUCCAGACCGCCAUCGACGGACCUUGAAACAUCGUCUGCUGGCAGAUUAUUUCCAAGUUCAAAAUUUAUUUUGUUCUUAGAAUUCUGUGUGAAAAAUCCACGCCGUAACGUACCGAUAACCGCAUCAGGUCCCCAAGGUGAACAGCCUCUG
RNAcentral lists this ribosomal RNA (1147 nucleotides) under Apoglossum ruscifolium. Its description in RNAcentral is "LSU rRNA". It matches the Rfam family "Eukaryotic large subunit ribosomal RNA", at positions 569 to 1885 of the family's 3401-position model. Lineage: Eukaryota; Rhodophyta; Florideophyceae; Ceramiales; Delesseriaceae. The record is from RNAcentral.